RNAcentral lists this ribosomal RNA (279 nucleotides) under uncultured bacterium. RNAcentral's name for it is "partial 16S ribosomal RNA". It matches the Rfam family "Bacterial small subunit ribosomal RNA", at positions 506 to 784 of the family's 1533-position model. The record is from RNAcentral.
UGCCAGCCGCCGCGGUAAUACGGAGGGGGUUAGCGUUGUUCGGAAUUACUGGGCGUAAAGCGCACGUAGGCGGAUUAGAAAGUUAGAGGUGAAAUCCCGGGGCUCAACCCCGGAACUGCCUUUAAAACUACUAGUCUAGAGUUCGAGAGAGGUGAGUGGAAUUCCGAGUGUAGAGGUGAAAUUCGUAGAUAUUCGGAGGAACACCAGUGGCGAAGGCGGCUCACUGGCUCGAUACUGACGCUGAGGUGCGAAAGUGCCGGCAUCUAACCGGAUCAGAUA